RNAcentral lists this unclassified non-coding RNA (334 nucleotides) under soil metagenome. RNAcentral's name for it is "partial contains 5.8S ribosomal RNA, internal transcribed spacer 2, and large subunit ribosomal RNA". The stretch from base 1 to 120 matches the Rfam family "5.8S ribosomal RNA", at positions 35 to 154 of the family's 154-position model. The record is from RNAcentral.
GAUGAAGAACGCAGCGAAAUGCGAUAAGUAAUGUGAAUUGCAGAAUUCAGUAAAUCAUCGAAUCUUUGAACGCACAUUGCGCCCGCCAGUAUUCUGGCGAGCAUGCCUGUUCGAGCGUCAUUUCAACCAUCAAGCCCCAGGCUUGUGUUGGAGCCCUGCGGCUGCCGCAGCCUCCCAAAACCAGUGGCGGGCUCGCUAUCACACCGAGUGCAGUAGUUUACUCUUCGCUCAGGGCGUGUGGCGGGUGCUAGCCGUGAAACCCCCAACUUCUCAAGGUUGACCUCGGAUCAGGUAGGAAUACCCGCUGAACUUAAGCAUAUCAAUAAGCGGAGGA